This is a long non-coding RNA of Lolium rigidum, 486 nucleotides long. RefSeq lists it as uncharacterized. The transcript has 3 exons. The record is from RefSeq and is a predicted model, not a curated record. Lineage: Eukaryota; Viridiplantae; Streptophyta; Magnoliopsida; Poales; Poaceae.
UUUUCGGCUGAUGCACUGACAAUAACAUUUUUUGCUACGCUUCUUGAUUGCUGUCUUGCGACAAUAGGUUUUGACAGAGUAUGUUGUGCAAGACCUCAAUGUGAACCCGAAGCUUCCUUUCGAGGAUAACACUUUCGAUGUUAUAACCAACGUGGUUAGUGUAGACUACUUGAACAAACCAAUGGAUGUAUUUAAGGAGAUGCGACGAAUCCUUAAACCAUCUGGAUUAGCUAUCAUGAUGUAAGAAGUAGCAUUGCAAUAAUUAUAUAUGCUAUUCGGUAAGACCUGUCAAAUGCCAGUUUGUCUUUCAUAAUUCGUUCUAAACGGCUACCUUUGACUCUGGAUAUAGUUUUUCAAAUCGCUGCUUCUGGACAAAAGCUAUAUCUAUCUGGACAUCAACUGGUGAUGCUGAUCAUGCUUGGAUAGUUGGUGCUUACUUCCAUUAUACUGGAGGUUUUGAGGCCCCUUAGGCAAUUGAUAUAUCUC